Molecule: long non-coding RNA, 486 nt
Filed under: Mytilus galloprovincialis (Mediterranean mussel)
Lineage: Eukaryota; Metazoa; Mollusca; Bivalvia; Mytilida; Mytilidae
Source: RNAcentral
AGGUGAGCGACACAGUAAUUUAGUCUACUAUGACAGUUAAUAGUAUUAAUCUAUAUUGUUAUAAUUAGAAAACAAUAACAUACAUUUGUUAAUGUGGACUAAAAUAUCCCAAAACUACGAUAGCAUAUAUAUAAAAAAGAUGUGGUAUGAUUGCCAAUGAGACAACCAUCCACAAGAGAAAUUAGAACUAUAGGUCACCGUACAGCCUUCAACAAUGUGCAAAGCCCAUACAGCAUAGUCAGCUAUAAAAGGCCCUAAAAGACAAUGUAAAACAAUUCAAACGAGAAAACUAACGGCCAUACUUGUAUAAAGAAAUGAACGAAAAAUGUAUGUUACAUUUUUCAAAGGGGCAAUAUACAUCCUUAGUUUUGUUUAAAUGUAUAUAAGUUGUAUUGAUAUCAUUAUGGUCUUUAUAGAUGUAAGAAGUUGUGGUAUGAUUGCCAAUGAGAUAACUCUCCAUCCAAGUCACAAUUUAUAAAAGUAAAC